Molecule: ribosomal RNA, 446 nt
Filed under: uncultured bacterium
Lineage: Bacteria
Description: partial 16S ribosomal RNA
Rfam family: Bacterial small subunit ribosomal RNA
Source: RNAcentral
UCCAGACUCCUACGGGAGGCAGCAGUGGGGGAUAUUGCACAAUGGGGGAAACCCUGAUGCAGCGACGCCGCGUGGGUGAAGAAGCGCCUCGGCGCGUAAAGCCCUUUCAGCAGGGAAGAAAAUGACGGUACCUGAAGAAGAAGCCCCGGCUAACUACGUGCCAGCAGCCGCGGUAAUACGUAGGGGGCAAGCGUUAUCCGGAUUUACUGGGUGUAAAGGGGGCGCAGACGGCGAUGCAAGCCAGGAGUGAAAGCCCGGGGCCCAACCCCGGGACUGCUCUUGGAACUGCGUGGCUGGAGUGCAGGAGGGGCAGGCGGAAUUCCUGGUGUAGCGGUGAAAUGCGUAGAUAUCAGGAGGAACACCGGUGGCGAAGGCGGCGUGCCGUGCCGCCACUGACGCUGAGGCACGAAAGCGCGGGGAUCGAACAGGAUUAGAUACCCUAGUAA